GAUGAACGCUAGCUACAGGCUUAACACAUGCAAGUCGAGGGGCGAGCAUUUCUAGUUUGUCUUGCAAACUGAAGAUGGCGACCGGCGCACGGGUGAGUAACACGUAUCCAACCUGCCGAUAACUCGGGGAUAGCCUUUCGAAAGAAAGAUUAAUAUCCGAUGGUAUAAUUAGACCGCAUGGUCUUGUUAUUAAAGAAUUUCGGUUAUCGAGUGGGGAUGCCGUUUCCAUUAGGCAGUUGGUGAGGUAACGGCUCACCAAACCUUCGAUGGAGUAGGGGUUCUGAGAGGAACGGUCCCCCACAUU
Molecule: ribosomal RNA, 304 nt
Filed under: uncultured bacterium
Lineage: Bacteria
Description: bacterial SSU rRNA
Rfam family: Bacterial small subunit ribosomal RNA
Source: RNAcentral